Molecule: ribosomal RNA, 253 nt
Filed under: uncultured bacterium
Lineage: Bacteria
Description: partial 16S ribosomal RNA
Rfam family: Bacterial small subunit ribosomal RNA
Source: RNAcentral
UACGUAGGUGGCGAGCGUUGUCCGGAUUUACUGGGCGUAAAGAGCGCGUAGGUGGCCUGCCAAGUCUGGGGUGAAAUCUCUCGGCUUAACCGGGAGGGGUCUUCAGAUACUGGUGGGCUUGAGGGCAGCAGAGGUCGGUGGAAUUCCCGGUGGAGUGGUGAAAUGCGUAGAUAUCGGGAGGAACACCAGUGGCGAAGGCGGCCGACUGGGCUGGCCCUGACGCUGAGGUGCGAAAGCGUGGGGAGCGAACAGG